GCCUUCGUGGUGUAAUGGUCAGAACAUUCGACGCGUAACCGAGAGGUCCGUGGUUUGAUUCCCGGCUAAGGCA
Molecule: transfer RNA, 73 nt
Filed under: Stegodyphus mimosarum
Lineage: Eukaryota; Metazoa; Arthropoda; Arachnida; Araneae; Eresidae
Rfam family: tRNA
About the family: Transfer RNA (tRNA) molecules are approximately 80 nucleotides in length. Their secondary structure includes four short double-helical elements and three loops (D, anti-codon, and T loops). Further hydrogen bonds mediate the characteristic L-shaped molecular structure. tRNAs have two regions of fundamental functional importance: the anti-codon, which is responsible for specific mRNA codon recognition, and the 3' end, to which the tRNAs corresponding amino acid is attached (by aminoacyl-tRNA synthetases). tRNAs cope with the degeneracy of the genetic code in two manners: having more than one tRNA (with a specific anti-codon) for a particular amino acid; and 'wobble' base-pairing, i.e. permitting non-standard base-pairing at the 3rd anti-codon position.
Source: Rfam by way of RNAcentral